GGGUCGUUAGCUCAGGUGGUAGAGCAGUUGGCUUUUAACCAAUUGGGCGCUGCUUCGAAUCCACCACGACCCACCA
This 76-nucleotide transfer RNA is filed under the name Alcanivorax sp. Its description in RNAcentral is "tRNA-Lys". It matches the Rfam family "tRNA". From Rfam's summary of the family: Transfer RNA (tRNA) molecules are approximately 80 nucleotides in length. Their secondary structure includes four short double-helical elements and three loops (D, anti-codon, and T loops). Lineage: Bacteria; Pseudomonadati; Pseudomonadota; Gammaproteobacteria; Oceanospirillales; Alcanivoracaceae. The record is from RNAcentral.